RNAcentral lists this unclassified non-coding RNA (328 nucleotides) under soil metagenome. RNAcentral's name for it is "partial contains 5.8S ribosomal RNA, internal transcribed spacer 2, and large subunit ribosomal RNA". The stretch from base 1 to 120 matches the Rfam family "5.8S ribosomal RNA", at positions 35 to 154 of the family's 154-position model. The record is from RNAcentral.
GAUGAAGAACGCAGCGAAAUGCGAUAAGUAAUGUGAAUUGCAGAAUUCAGUGAAUCAUCGAAUCUUUGAACGCACAUUGCGCCCUCUGGUAUUCCGGGGGGCAUGCCUGUUCGAGCGUCAUUAUAACCACUCAAGCUUUCGCUUGGUAUUGGGGCUCGCGGUUCCGCGGCCCCUAAAAUCAGUGGCGGUGCCUGUCGGCUCUACGCGUAGUAAUACUCCUCGCGAUUGAGUCCGGUAGGUCUACUUGCCAGCAACCCCCAAUUUUUACAGGUUGACCUCGGAUCAGGUAGGGAUACCCGCUGAACUUAAGCAUAUCAAUAACGGAGGA